RNAcentral lists this ribosomal RNA (536 nucleotides) under uncultured bacterium. Its description in RNAcentral is "bacterial SSU rRNA". It matches the Rfam family "Bacterial small subunit ribosomal RNA", at positions 1 to 527 of the family's 1533-position model. The record is from RNAcentral.
AGCUAGAGUUUGAUCAUGGCUCAGGACGAACGCUGGCGGCGCGCUUAACACAUGCAAGUCGAGCGAGAACCAGACCUUCGGGUCUGGGGAAAGCGGCGAACGGGUGAGUAACACGUGAGUAAUCUGCCCUCGACAUCGGGAUAGCCCGGGGAAACCCGGAUUAAUACCGAAUGGCCCACCUGCUCUUCGGGGCGGUUGGAAAAGGUAGCUUCGGCCUCCGGUCGAGGAGGAGCUCGCGGCCGAUUAGCUUGUUGGUGGGGUAAUGGCCCACCAAGGCGACGAUCGGUAGCUGGUCUGAGAGGACGAUCAGCCACACUGGGACUGAGACACGGCCCAGACUCCUACGGGAGGCAGCAGUGGGGAAUCUUGCGCAAUGGGCGAAAGCCUGACGCAGCGACGCCGCGUGCGGGAAGAAGGCCUUCGGGUUGUAAACCGCUUUCAGGAGGGACGAAGCUACUCGGGUGAAUAGCCCAGAGGGUGACGGUACCUCCAGAAGAAGCCCCGGCUAACUACGUGCCAGCAGCCGCGGUAGCCCA